AUCUACAGCCAUACAAUCUGGAACAUGCCCGAUCUCCUCUGAUCUGGGAAGCUAAGCAGAGUAGGGCCUGGUUAGUACUUGGAUGGGAGACCAAGUUUAAAUCUUAGCACUAUGGGAG
Ribosomal RNA from Erinaceus europaeus (western European hedgehog), 118 nucleotides. The record is from Ensembl. Lineage: Eukaryota; Metazoa; Chordata; Mammalia; Eulipotyphla; Erinaceidae.